Cavia porcellus (domestic guinea pig) is the source of this 2503-nucleotide long non-coding RNA. RefSeq lists it as uncharacterized. The transcript has 4 exons. Lineage: Eukaryota; Metazoa; Chordata; Mammalia; Rodentia; Caviidae. The record is from RefSeq and is a predicted model, not a curated record.
GAUAUCAAGACUCCAACCUUUGGGUUGAGCUAGCCAAAAUGUUACUUAAAAUGAAUAAAUUUAAAGCAAUUUAAAUCCUUGUCUCUUCCAGGACUCAGGAAACAGCUGUCCUCCUGAACAGAUGCUCCAAACCGCAAGUCAUGUGCCAGGCCUCAUUUGUGGCAGCUUCUUACCAGAAGGCCCCUCAGAGUAGGGGCACAGAGCCCUGGGGAUGGUGACACAGGGAGAGGCCCUUGAGGAGGAGGACCGGUGCUCUCUAGAUGGAAAGGCAGCCUCGUGUCACCAGGAUAAAGCUACCUACAGUCAACUGUGGUUGAAAAUAUCUCUUGCUUGUAAAGAUGGCUACAGGAACAAGGCUGACAAAACCAAGUAGCUGAGCCCCAGACCCAGGCGAGAGCACCCUGGAGGAGCUGAUUGGAAUGCACUCAAGGCUGGUGUCUUCUCCAGACAGAGUGGCCCGAGUGGCCCAACCACUUGCUUGUAAAGACGGCUACAGGAACAAAGCUGACAAAAGCAAGUAGCUGAGCUGCAGAACCAGUUUGGGACGGAUUUCUCAGCUCAUUGUUUCUUAAGGAAAUGGCCAGGAAAGGCCACGCAUCAGCUUUGCAGAGUAAAAAUAAUGAAUGAGCAUUGGAAACCAGUAAGAAGCAGCGUUACCCUCUGUCCCACCGAGAACACGUGUUUGCCUUGCGCCUCAUUUCCCACAACUAGAAGCUCCCAGCUGAAUAAUCAUAUCCAAACAUGCUGAGCUAAUUGAAGAAAGGUGCUAUAUAAACACAAGGUACUGUUAUUAUGGUCAUUUUCCCAGACCUUGGGCUCCCCCACCCACUUCCUCUACUUUUACAAUGACCUGGAAAGCAGAGCCUCCUCAUAGCGGAUGCAGAUUGCUAGCAACGCCUUUGGCGCCCCCAAGUGGUUUCCUCUGUAAAAAUCACCUGAAGCAAAGAGUUUAGGAUUCUGUCAAAACAUAUUUAUUCUCUAGAACAUGCUAGGUUAGACACAACAAAAAACAUGUGGGUAAAUACUUCUUAAACAAAUUUAUUUCCAUGUGGAAUAACACCAGGCAUUUCCCACUAUUAUUAAAAUAUAACAUUAGCUUCUCUUCUAAAUGUGAAAGACACAAUAAAUAUUUUUCUUUAUAACCUGAUCACUCAACAAUAGGUGGUUAAGACAAAUCUUUUUAUCUCUAAAUAGAGGCUCUGUUAUAGAUGGAUGAGGGUAUGUGACAGCCAGCACUUUGUAAAAGUAUCCCGAAUCUGUAUCUCUUCGCAAAUCCACUGUUCUCUAACAGGGUGAGGUCUGAUAAGUGGUAUUUUCUACCUGACUCGAAAUUUUUAAUCCCUGAAAGGAAAACAGGUAACCAAUAAGUGAAUUUUAAGGUCAGCAAUUGGUUUUACUAGCUGAGAAUCUUUUGUCAAAGAAAUGUUCCAUAAAAGGUACCAACUUAAGCCAUGACAGUGGGUACACAUUAUGUUGGGCAGAGUGAGCUUUGACUAUUUAGUUUUCUUUUCAUUUUCCCCCAAAUCCCUGACACCUCUUUGGAGAAUCCUAGCAUUCCACAGAACAUGGUUCAAAACUUACUGUACUAACUAUUCCUGUUGUUUAUUUAACCUCCAACUAAAACACUUUAGACUGUUAUUUAUUAAUUUGCUUAUGGGUACCAAAAAUGUACCUUUUCUAUUACUCUGUAGUAAAACACUUCAGUCUUCAUUUCUCCACUUCAAUCCUCCGUCUAUUCCUAGGGGAAAGGAAGUAGAAAAGAUGAACUUUCACAGUUUCUGUCUUUCCUCAGACUUCUGAAACUUUUUGAAUUUAUAAGUAAUACUAUUUAUUAACCACACUGCUCAACGUGAUGCUGAAAUUUUGGCAGAACAAGAUGGCUGAUAAUCCAGUUGAUAAAAGACCUUUGAAAGGCAAAACACUAUGUCAUACUAUCACUGGAUGAUACUAAAAAUAUAUGGGUGCUCAAAUUUGCCUAAUGAUGAAUUUUUUAGAUGUUGAGAGGAAAAGGAGAACGGGUUUAGUAGAAGUCAAAGAACACAGAGUGGAAUGAUGUUCUUUGGUGAAGGAGCACCCACUCGCAUCACAAAGUUGAUUCAACUCUUAAACUGCCAUCGUUCCUCUUUUUGUUCCAUGCUCUGAGAGGCUCACGUGUUUUGUGGCUCAGGAAAGGAGUGAAGCGAAAGAGCAGGGAUCACGGUUUCCCCUCCGGGACUUCCGGUCAGCCGGUGUAGGAACUGGGGGGACCGGAAGUGGAGAUGCCAGUGCGCUCCUGAAAUCCGCCUCCGGAAACGGCUCCUCCAUUGAGAAAGAGACCGGUUCAUGUGAUGUUGUGGCGCAGACAUAGAAAGAACAUGAUAGCCUUAAAAUGGUUCACCAUGUCUGUUCCAAAGAAAAGAAAAAUAGGAUAUUCCCUAUUGUCAGAUACCUAGAGGUAUUUGAAAAGAACAAUACAAUAGCUAGAAAGGUCUUUGAAAAGAAUAACUCAAUCAUUUAUUCACAA